CCUACGGGAGGCAGCAGUGAGGAAUAUUGGUCAAUGGGCGCGAGCCUGAACCAGCCAAGUCGCGUGAGGGAGGACGGCCCUACGGGUUGUAAACCUCUUUUGCCGGGGAGCAACGGGCGUCACGUGUGGCGCCACUGAGAGUACCCGGAGAAAAAGCAUCGGCUAACUCCGUGCCAGCAGCCGCGGUAAUACGGAGGAUGCGAGCGUUAUCCGGAUUUAUUGGGUUUAAAGGGUGCGUAGGCGGAUCGUUAAGUCAGUGGUCAAAUUGAGGGGCUCAACCCCGGCCGGCCGUUGAAACUGGCGUGCUCGAGUUGGAGAGAAGUAUGCGGAAUUCGUGGUGUAGCGGUGAAAUGCAUAGAUAUCACGAAGAACCCCGAUUGCGAAGGCAGCAUACCGGCUCCACACUGACGCUGAGGCACGAAAGCGUGGGUAUCGAACAGGAUUAGAUACCCCUGUAGUC
Molecule: ribosomal RNA, 460 nt
Filed under: uncultured bacterium
Lineage: Bacteria
Description: partial 16S ribosomal RNA
Rfam family: Bacterial small subunit ribosomal RNA
Source: RNAcentral